AAAAAAUAAUCCGCUAAUUUGAACUUUGGCAAUAAAUAAUGCAUCUUUUGCGAAUUCGAAAUAUGUAUAUAGCCACUUUUUGUUUUGUUUCAAAAGAAGAAUAACUGCUUCGAGUGUUAGAAGAAGUUUAAUGUCCAUUUAUUCAAAAACCAUUGAAGCUAUCAUAAUUUAGUUUUCAUCAAACGGUUGCGCGUUAUUUGUGCUUAAAGACAGCUAAUACGUUAUUUUCGAGAUCAAAUAAAAUUGAAAUUGCCAGAGCUACGUCUGAGAAACUUGCAUCUUCUAGAAGUAACCUUUUCUGCCACUUUCAAUAUGAAAAAUGACCAAGUAAUAAUGGGCAUUUGAUGUGGUGGAUUUCAAAAUGCUACUUAUAAUAUACAAAGAACUAGGUGCUGUUUUGGGACCUUUUCGUAUCUAUGUUUAUUAUGGGUAUAGGACCUGGACUUAACUCUGCAGAUAGAUAUUAUUGUAAGGUGAAAAAUAAGCCUGUGACUAAUAUGGACUUAAACAAAUUGAAUUCAAAGCUUAAGUCAUAAAAGACAUCCCCCCCGGAAGGAGGGUAACGAUCAAAGCAUCAAAUGGAUUGCUGAAGAAUGAGAUUUUUGUGGCUCGUAAUUGGUUAGGUUAGCAGUUGUAGGACUAGAAGGAACAGAAGAACACUUAAUUACGGAGCACUUCUUGUAUCAGUCCUCAUUUGCCCCAGAAAGAAGCUAUUCCUAUGGUCUUAAAGAAAGCAUGAAUGUGCCUUUUUUCCAUAAGAGAACAAAAGACAGUGUGCUGAAGAAAGGAUUUAUGACAAUGAACUGGUAUGUAACAGUAUUAAUUAAAAAUAGUAAACGAGGUCCCACAAACAUCCAUUCCCUAAACUUCCAAAAAGCCUGGUUGGGUUUUUAGCUCCACUAAAUUUUGCUGAUUUUGCCACAAAAAUUUAUAAAGAACAUCGAUUUGCAACUUCCAAUCCCCAAUUUAAAAGGAUUUUUUUCUUCAUUAUAAAUAUUUUGAACCCUGAUUUUGAAAGCCGAGUCGUUAAUAUGUAAAAAAAAUCAGAUUUGCUACUGCAGCCUGACUCAGGAUACUUUGGAGUGAAAUGGGUUGCCUAUAUGAAAGACCAACAGUCGCUAGCGGUAUUUAAAAUAAUUUGAAUUUUAAAUUCACACCGUCCUGCGAAAUUAAAUAAGUGCGCUGUUGUCGAGAUAAAGGUAGAAAUAUUACAGUGCAAGUCGAAAUUUGUAAGCAACUAAAUUUUUAGAUUUUAAUAAAAUAAUUUA
This is a long non-coding RNA of Agrilus planipennis (emerald ash borer), 1268 nucleotides long. RefSeq lists it as uncharacterized. NCBI's taxonomy places the organism in Eukaryota, Metazoa, Arthropoda, Insecta, Coleoptera, Buprestidae. The record is from RefSeq and is a predicted model, not a curated record. The transcript is spliced from 5 exons.